GAUGAACGCUGGCGGCGUGCCUAAUACAUGCAAGUCGAGCGAACAGACGAGGAGCUUGCUCCUCUGACGUUAGCGGCGGACGGGUGAGUAACACGUGGAUAACCUACCUAUAAGACUGGGAUAACUUCGGGAAACCGGAGCUAAUACCGGAUAAUAUAUUGAACCGCAUGGUUCAAUAGUGAAAGACGGUUUUGCUGUCACUUAUAGAUGGAUCCGCGCCGCAUUAGCUAGUUGGUAAGGUAACGGCCUACCAAGGCAACGAUGCGUAGCCGACCUGAGAGGGUGAGCGGCCACACUGGAACUGAGACACGGUCCAGACUCCUACGGGAGGCAGCAGUAGGGAAUCUUCCGCAAUGGGCGAAAGCCUGACGGAGCAACGCCGCGUGAGUGAUGAAGGUCUUCGGAUCGUAAAACUCUGUUAUUAGGGAAGAACAAAUGUGUAAGUAACUAUGCACGUCUUGACGGUACCUAAUCAGAAAGCCACGGCUAACUACGUG
RNAcentral lists this ribosomal RNA (497 nucleotides) under uncultured bacterium. RNAcentral describes it as "partial 16S ribosomal RNA". It matches the Rfam family "Bacterial small subunit ribosomal RNA", at positions 28 to 507 of the family's 1533-position model. The record is from RNAcentral.